RNAcentral lists this ribosomal RNA (305 nucleotides) under uncultured bacterium. RNAcentral's name for it is "partial 16S ribosomal RNA". It matches the Rfam family "Bacterial small subunit ribosomal RNA", at positions 505 to 807 of the family's 1533-position model. The record is from RNAcentral.
ACAGCAGCAGCCACGGUAAUACGUAGGGUGCAAGCGUUAAUCGGAAUUACUGGGCGUAAAGCGUGCGCAGGCGGCUUUGCAAGACAGAUGUGAAAUCCCCGGGCUCAACCUGGGAACUGCAUUUGUGACUGCAAGGCUAAAGUGCGGCAGAGGGAGAUGGAAUUCCACGUGUAGCAGUGAAAUGCGUAGAUAUGUGGAGGAAUACCGAUGGCGAAGGCAGCCCCCUGGGAUAACACUGACGCUCAUGCACGAAAGCGUGGGGAGCAAACAGGAUUAGAUACCCCCGUAGUCCCUGUCUCUUAUAC